CUACUACUACUACUACUACUACUACUACUACUACUACUACUACUACUACUACUACUACUACUACUACUACAACACCUACUACUACUACUACUACUACUACUACUGCUACGCAAAAAGUAAUUACGCACAUACAUGCACGAGGACACACACACACACACACACACACACACACACACACACACAAACAAACAGCACGGGACACUAUUUUUUACAAACCACUAGCUUUCAUCUUAAAAUUCCCUUGAAAACUCUAAAUAAAAAAGAAUUAUUAAGAAACUCACUUACUGGAACCUUUCAAACCACUAUACUUAAAUUUUUACCCGCGAAAGUAAAAGAAAAUAAGAAUAAAAUAGAUUUACUGUAAUAUUUCUCCAUAAACGUUUCCAAGUAUAUACACAAAACACCAAAAUGUCCACAAAACCUUAACAAACCCCACCUGUUGCUUAUAAACCCACUAAACCCUUAAAUAAACCCCUAAAAAAACACACAAAGCCUUCUAAAUCAAAAUAAACACAGUAAACACAAUAAUACAGAAGUACGAGAAUUAAUGUACGACAGUUACGCCACCCGCCGCCACCCCGAGACAGGCCGCGGGUAUAUAAAGGGCCAGCGGGGUGGAGGAGCAUCAGAAGACACUCAAAGCUUGUCGUGUUAACAUCUCCUGGUUACUUUUACGAGACCCACGUGGAUUUUUCUCUUAAGGAUUACAAUUGCUUUUGGAUUACUGGUGAAAUAGACCUUAAGUGGAUUUUGGUCUUGUUGUCUGCAGCUGCAAACUACUCUUGACUCUAUUGCACGUCACCGUAUGGGCAACGCCGUGCACAGGCUCCGCUCACUGCUCGCCAUGGACCGCCACGCCGCCGCCACCGCCGCCACCACCGCCACCGCCACGCCCACAGGCAACACGGGCGGCGCUGCGUGGGAGGAGGAGCUCGGGGACGAAUUCAUGGCAGUAGUAUUGUCUUUCUGUGCUCAUAUGGGCGGCCGUCUUGACGCCCUGGAUAACGCCCGUCUGUAUGAUGAAUUCCGCUCCUUCACCGCCCCCACGCCCACACCCCGCCACGCCACCCUCGGCCUCGCAUAGCACGCCACCGCACGCCCUCCAGGUGGCCGCUCAGACACUCAUACAGACACAAAGGGCACGCUGAUGAUGAUGAUGCGCCCUAGAAGUUUGGUGAUGAUAGUGGUGGUGGUGGUGGUGCUCUGCUGAGAGGGGCACCACCACGCCGCCCCGCCCCACGUGACCUGCCCCGCCACACUGCCCCGCCCAGCCACACCAGUCACAGGUGUGGGCGUGGGUGUGGGUGUAAUGCACGUACUAUACAUGUAUGUGUGUGUGUGUGUGUGUGUGUGUUCACGUGACCUGACCUGACCCUACUGUGAUAUAUGUGUGUGUGUAUGUAUGUAUGUAUGUGUGUAUAUAUGUAUGUAUGUAUGUAUGUAUGUAUGUAUUCUUCUCAUCCAGUUUCUUAUUCAGUGAGUGUAUUUAUGUAUAUUUAUGAGUGUGUGUGUGUGCGUGCGUGCGAGGAGGCGCGGCCCGGCUGGCUGAGAGCACCGCCUCCCCUCCCCCCUUCCCCCCUACCCCCCCCACGCCACACUGUUAAGUUAUUCAUUGUCUGUAAAUUAAUAAACUUAUUCUGUGCUGA
RNAcentral lists this long non-coding RNA (1646 nucleotides) under Portunus trituberculatus (swimming crab). RNAcentral's name for it is "uncharacterized LOC123505256". The record is from RNAcentral. Lineage: Eukaryota; Metazoa; Arthropoda; Malacostraca; Decapoda; Portunidae.